GUGAACGCUGGCGGUAGGCCUAACACAUGCAAGUCGAACGGCAGCACAGUAAGAGCUUGCUCUUACGGGUGGCGAGUGGCGGACGGGUGAGGAAUACAUCGGAAUCUACUUUUUCGUGGGGGAUAACGUAGGGAAACUUACGCUAAUACCGCAUACGACCUACGGGUGAAAGCAGGGGAUCUUCGGACCUUGCGCGAUUGAAUGAGCCGAUGACGGAUUAGCUAGUUGGCGGGGUAAAGGCCCACCAAGGCGACGAUCCGUAGCUGGUCUGAGAGGAUGAUCAGCCACACUGGAACUGAGACACGGUCCAGACUCCUACGGGAGGCAGCAGUGGGGAAUAUUGGACAAUGGGCGCAAGCCUGAUCCAGCCAUACCGCGUGGGUGAAGAAGGCCUUCGGGUUGUAAAGCCCUUUUGUUGGGAAAGAAAAGCAGCAGGUUAAUACCCCGCUGUUCUGACGGUACCCAAAGAAUAAGCACCGGCUAACUUCGUG
RNAcentral lists this ribosomal RNA (491 nucleotides) under uncultured bacterium. RNAcentral describes it as "partial 16S ribosomal RNA". It matches the Rfam family "Bacterial small subunit ribosomal RNA", at positions 29 to 507 of the family's 1533-position model. The record is from RNAcentral.